UACGGAGGGUGCAAGCGUUAUCCGGAUUCACUGGGUUUAAAGGGUGCGUAGGUGGGUCUGAAAGUCAGUGGUGAAAUCUCCGUGCUUAACAUGGAAACUGCCAUUGAUACUCUGGAUCUUGAAUUUUCUGGAGGUUAGCGGAAUAUGUCAUGUAGCGGUGAAAUGCUUAGAUAUGACAUAGAACACCAAUUGCGAAGGCAGCUAACUACGGGAACAUUGACACUGAGGCACGAAAGCGUGGGGAUCAAACAGG
This 253-nucleotide ribosomal RNA is filed under the name uncultured bacterium. RNAcentral's name for it is "partial 16S ribosomal RNA". It matches the Rfam family "Bacterial small subunit ribosomal RNA", at positions 524 to 776 of the family's 1533-position model. The record is from RNAcentral.